ACUGGAAAAAUUAAAAGAAAAAACUAAGGAGGCUGAAAACCCAUAUCACACACAUCUUUGUCCAAAUCCAUGGCAGUGGACAGACGACUGUGAACUCUGCAGGGCGGGGCCUGGACGUCCGCCUGACACAAAGAGGAAAUGGUGCAUAUUUAAUGAAGUAAGCCGCAUUACUUAUGCAGUGGGCAGCGGAUUGUGGUAACGAUUUCUCAUCACUGCAGAUACUCAGCAGAAUCCCUGGAGGAAUAUAACUAUGGACUUCAAAUGCAUUAGGGCUAAUGUGCAGAAUAAUAAUUGCUGCAGCUCACAGCCUAAUGUUCUAGUGACAGUGAAUCCUUUAAAAGAAUGCCAGCAGGGAACAAUGCCGCCAGAGUGAAAAAGAACACGUUACAAUAAUGUGGACAGGAAACCCCAAAUAGCUCCAAGAGCUGCUAAAGGAAUUACUGGGAUAAGAUAAUUAUAAAAAAAUGAAGAUGGUAAUAAUAGUAAUAAUAGUAAUAAUAAUAAUAAUAAUAAUAAUAAUAAUAAAGGGGUGGGGGGUGUUGCUUACCAGAUAUAAAACCAAAGAACACAGCCUGGCACACUGGCGAAGGCAAUCACCAGUGUUAAUGGAGGCCAGUGAGUUCAACGUACCCCCCAUGGUGUUCAUUUCACAUAGCUACUGUACAACACAGGAUCUGAUAUAAAAACUUAUUCUCUGCUGACCGAGUCUGAAUUACCUCGGUUACACCCAGGAAGCUUUAUGAGCUCCUAAUGAAGUAUUAUCCUGUUGAUUAAGGGGACCCACUGCCAGGCCGCAGGCAGCUGCACAGGCCCCGUAGCAAGGAGCUGAACUGAGCGGUGCAUUCAGCUGGGCUUUUCUUCCCCAGCCAGCAGAGCCCAGCACCCUGGCUCUGAAACAAACAGGGUCUGCGGCCCACUCAUGACGGCCCCUGCUGGCCAAUUCAGAACGGGAAGGAGUGCCCACAGGGAGGGAUGAAUGGCACCAGCCCUACCAACAAAGGGUAUUCCCAAUAGUUAGGGCACAGCCACAGCCCCCUCAGUGACCAAGUCCAAUUAGUGAGGGGGUGGCAAAGAAACCCAGGCACAAAUCACAGCCAUAGCAGCUGGGCAGGACUGGACUCGGGAUUAACUGGCUAGAACCAGAAGGAAGAGAAAGGACCAAGGGGCCUUCCUAAGGUUUAAAGGUGGCAAGACUGCCAGGUGUGAAAAUUAAAAUGCUGAGCAAAGACAAAGGAGCCUACGAGUCAUUGCUGAGCCGCAGGAGGGAACAGGAUCCCGACCUAAGGCACUUGGUCUAGUAAUCAUGUUAUCUCCAUACGGAGAGGCAGCCGGAGGAGAAAGAGAAGUGUAACAGUGCCCCCACCUCCCACGCUUUUUCACUGUUGCAGAACUAGUCCUGACAGAGAAAUGCUUCAGAAAACAGGAUCAUUCCCCUUGGACCUGCUGCACUUGUUUGAACCCAGCUACAGAGCAUUUAGCGUAAGGACUACUGGACACGGGAGAAGUGAGGGACUUCCGGGCACUUUAAAGCUAGCCCCGCUGUGCCGCCGCCUCACCUCUGCUCCAGGUACCGCAGGGCCUGCCUGACCAGCUCCAUGCGCACUUCCACGCUGCUGCGGCUCUUCAGGGCAUCCAUGGCCGGUGCCAGCAGCACGUCUGUCAUUUGCUUUACCAUGGUCCACAGGUCAGAGAUGUUCUGCACGUAAGUAACGGCACGUGACAAUGCUGUGGGGCUGGAGAGAGUGCCUGGCUCUUCCUCGCUCGGACCUGCUCACCGCAGGCAGGCAGGCCACGGAGGGGGCGAGGCUAACGGCUCCUGUCGGAGGCCCCCAGGCUACGCCCAGCACAGAAGAUGCACCUCUGCCCCGCCGCCUGCCAGGCUUUCACCUUCCGACAAGCAGCCUGUCCAAGCUGGCUGCAGAUCAAUGAUGAUCCCAGGCCUGACAGAACCACCCACAUGCUUAAGACCACACAGAACUACAAACAACACUGAAUCUCAGUGGGUUAUCCCUUAAGAGAGAGUGGAUACUUUUAUAAUCAUCCAACGCGCUAGGAGUUUGAACUCAAGUAGCUGCAUUUCGGUCCUUACAAGGUCGUUUCAGUUUGGUAAGGCUUCAAAUGAAAGCUUAACCUAAAUAAUGUUUUGUCCUCCGGAGACUCCCCAGGGCCACUGCUCUUGGCCCAUUUUGGGUAAAAAGCCCCCCCCUUUCCUUCCCACUCAGUCCCUCAGAAGGCGCCUCCCGAGACAGGAGCAGGGACAGGAGCGGCCGUUCUCGCCCUUGUUACCAGCACACAGCUGGGCUCCUCUCCCAGCACCUGCCUGGCUUACAUCUGCCUGGAAAAGUGUUCCCGGAACCUCUGCACUAUUAUAAGUAAGAAUCCUUGGACGAGUAGGGAAAAGCAGGUUAACACUGUUCCAAAGGGAACAAAACCACACCCUACUUUCAUUGUCCUCUCCAAAAUUAAAACUGAAAAAAUCCACCCAAAUGCGACUCUUCCUAGCUGGUGACAUGGUAGGUGAAUUGCGUACUUUCUUCUUUAGAUGUUUGCAGUGCCUUAUAUUUUACUAUUU
Long non-coding RNA from Pipistrellus kuhlii (Kuhl's pipistrelle), 2572 nucleotides. RefSeq lists it as uncharacterized. The transcript has 2 exons. NCBI's taxonomy places the organism in Eukaryota, Metazoa, Chordata, Mammalia, Chiroptera, Vespertilionidae. The record is from RefSeq and is a predicted model, not a curated record.